RNAcentral lists this ribosomal RNA (826 nucleotides) under uncultured Chlorobiota bacterium. RNAcentral describes it as "bacterial SSU rRNA". It matches the Rfam family "Bacterial small subunit ribosomal RNA", at positions 80 to 902 of the family's 1533-position model. The record is from RNAcentral. Lineage: Bacteria; Pseudomonadati; Chlorobiota.
CAAUAUGUUAGUGGACUGGCGUACGGGUGCGUAACGCGUAGGUAAUUUGCCCUAAGGACUGGCAUAACACUUAGAAAUCAGUGCUAAUUCCAGAUAAUGCAGCGAAAUCGCAUGAUUUUGUUGCCAAAGACCCAAAAGGUUGCCAUAGGAGAAGCCUGCGUCCCAUUAGGUAGUUGGCGGAGUAACGGCCCACCAAGCCUACGAUGGGUAGCCGGUCUGAGAGGAUGAUCGGCCACAUUGGGACUGAGACACGGCCCAGACUCCUACGGGAGGCAGCAGUGAGGAAUAUUGCUCAAUGGGCGAAAGCCUGAAGCAGCAACGCCGCGUGUGGAAUGAAGGCCCUCUGGGUUGUAAACCACUGUAGAAAGGGACAAAGGUCAUGCUCCGCAUGACUGGAUGGUACCUUUAAAGUAAGCCUCGGCUAACUACGUGCCAGCAGCCGCGGUAAUACGUAGGAGGCAAGCGUUGUCCGGAAUCACUGGGUGUAAAGGGUGCGCAGGCGGGAAGGUAAGUCAAUGGUGAAAUCUCACAGCUUAACUGUGAAACUGCCAUUGAUACUGCUUUUCUUGAGUUUGGGAGAGGGUGGUGGAAUUCUUGGUGUAGCGGUGAAAUGCGUAGAUAUCAAGAAGAACACCAGUGGCGAAGGCGGCCACCUGGCCCAUAACUGACGCUCAUGCACGAAAGCGUGGGGAUCAAACAGGAUUAGAUACCCUGGUAGUCCACGCCCUAAACGAUGAGAACUUGAUGUUGGUCCCGCAAGGGAUCAGUGUCGGAGAUAACUCGUUAAGUUCUCCACCUGGGAAGUACGCUCGCAAGGGUGAAACUC